CGUGCCUGAUACAUGCAAGUCGAGCGGAAUGAUGAAGAAGCUUGCUUCUUCUGAUUUUAGCGGCGGACGGGUGAGUAACACGUGGGCAACCUACCUUGUAGAUUGGGAUAACUCCGGGAAACCGGGGCUAAUACCGAAUAAUCCAUUUUGCUUCAUGGCGAGAUGUUGAAAGACGGUUUCGGCUGUCACUACAAGAUGGGCCCGCGGCGCAUUAGCUAGUUGGUAGGGUAAUGGCCUACCAAGGCGACGAUGCGUAGCCGACCUGAGAGGGUGAUCGGCCACACUGGGACUGAGACACGGCCCAGACUCCUACGGGAGGCAGCAGUAGGGAAUCUUCCACAAUGGACGAAAGUCUGAUGGAGCAACGCCGCGUGAGUGAAGAAGGUUUUCGGAUCGUAAAACUCUGUUGUAAGGGAAGAACACGUACGAGAGCAACUGCUCGUACCUUGACGGGUACCUUAUUAGAAAGCCACGGCUAACUACGUG
This 486-nucleotide ribosomal RNA is filed under the name uncultured bacterium. RNAcentral describes it as "bacterial SSU rRNA". It matches the Rfam family "Bacterial small subunit ribosomal RNA", at positions 43 to 507 of the family's 1533-position model. The record is from RNAcentral.